RNAcentral lists this ribosomal RNA (729 nucleotides) under uncultured Bacteroidales bacterium. Its description in RNAcentral is "bacterial SSU rRNA". It matches the Rfam family "Bacterial small subunit ribosomal RNA", at positions 46 to 764 of the family's 1533-position model. Lineage: Bacteria; Pseudomonadati; Bacteroidota; Bacteroidia; Bacteroidales. The record is from RNAcentral.
GCUUAACACAUGCAAGUCGAGGGGCAGCAUGGUCUUAGCUUGCUAAGGCCGAUGGCGACCGGCGCACGGGUGAGUAACACGUAUCCAACCUGCCGUCUAUUCUUGGACAGCCUUCUGAAAGGAAGAUUAAUACAAGAUGGCAUCAUGAGUCCGCAUGUUCACAUGAUUAAAGGUAUUCCGGUAGACGAUGGGGAUGCGUUCCAUUAGAUAGUAGGCGGGGUAACGGCCCACCUAGUCUUCGAUGGAUAGGGGUUCUGAGAGGAAGGUCCCCCACAUUGGAACUGAGACACGGUCCAAACUCCUACGGGAGGCAGCAGUGAGGAAUAUUGGUCAAUGGGCGAGAGCCUGAACCAGCCAAGUAGCGUGAAGGAUGACUGCCCUAUGGGUUGUAAACUUCUUUUAUAAAGGAAUAAAGUCGGGUAUGCAUACCCGUUUGCAUGUACUUUAUGAAUAAGGAUCGGCUAACUCCGUGCCAGCAGCCGCGGUAAUACGGAGGAUCCGAGCGUUAUCCGGAUUUAUUGGGUUUAAAGGGAGCGUAGAUGGAUGUUUAAGUCAGUUGUGAAAGUUUGCGGCUCAACCGUAAAAUUGCAGUUGAUACUGGAUAUCUUGAGUGCAGUUGAGGCAGGCGGAAUUCGUGGUGUAGCGGUGAAAUGCUUAGAUAUCACGAAGAACUCCGAUUGCGAAGGCAGCCUGCUAAGCUGCAACUGACAUUGAGGCUCGAAAGUGUGG